UUUCUAGGCCUCAGCAUUCAGUUUGCUUGUAACCAGUCUGAUCUCAGAAACGAAGCAGCAUUAGGUGUUAUUAGUACUUGGUUGGGAGACUGCCUGGAAAUACUAGGUGCUUUAAGAC
Molecule: ribosomal RNA, 118 nt
Filed under: Salvator merianae (Argentine black and white tegu)
Lineage: Eukaryota; Metazoa; Chordata; Lepidosauria; Squamata; Teiidae
Source: RNAcentral